RNAcentral lists this ribosomal RNA (513 nucleotides) under uncultured bacterium. RNAcentral describes it as "bacterial SSU rRNA". It matches the Rfam family "Bacterial small subunit ribosomal RNA", at positions 8 to 518 of the family's 1533-position model. The record is from RNAcentral.
AGAGUUGAUCCUGGCUUAGGAUGAACGCUAGCUACAGGCCUAACACAUGCAAGUCGAGGGGCAGCAGAUUGAAAGCUUGCUUUGAUGCUGGCGACCGGCGAAUGGGUGAGUCACGCGUGUCCAACCUGCCCUGUGCCCGGGGAUAGCCCUUGGAAAUGAGGAUUAACACCCGAUAGGUGGCGCUUCCGCAUGGCGGCGCCAUGAAACCGACACAGGAUGGGGACGCGUCGGAUUAGCUUGACGGCGGGGCGACGGCCCACCGUGGCGACGAUCCGCAGGGGUUCUGAGAGGAAGGUCCCCCACACUGGCACUGAGACACGGGCCAGACUCCUACGGGAGGCAGCAGUGAGGAAUAUUGGUCAAUGGCCGAGAGGCUGAACCAGCCAAAGUAGCGUGCAGGACGACGGCCCUACGGGUUGUAAACUGCUUUUGCGGGAGGAUAAAGGACACUACGUGUAGUGUUUUGCAGGUAUCCCGUGAAUAAGGACCGGCUAAUUCCGUGCCAGCCGCGGC